GAUGAACGCUGGCGGCGUGCCUAACACAUGCAAGUCGAGCGAUUUACUUCGGUAAAGAGCGGCGGACGGGUGAGUAACGCGUGGGUAACCUGCCCUGUACACACGGAUAACAUACCGAAAGGUAUGCUAAUACGAGAUAAUAUGCUUUUAUCGCAUGGUAGAAGUAUCAAAGCUUUUGCGGUACAGGAUGGACCCGCGUCUGAUUAGCUAGUUGGUGAGGUAACGGCUCACCAAGGCGACGAUCAGUAGCCGACCUGAGAGGGUGAUCGGCCACAUUGGAACUGAGACACGGUCCAAACUCCUACGGGAGGCAGCAGUGGGGAAUAUUGCAAAAUGGGCGAAGUCCUGAUGCAGCACCGCCGCGUGAGCGAUGAAGGCCGUCGGGUCGUAAAGCUCUGUCCUCAAGGAAGAUAAUGACGGUACUUGAGGAGGAAGCCCCGGCUAACUACGUG
This 452-nucleotide ribosomal RNA is filed under the name uncultured bacterium. Its description in RNAcentral is "partial 16S ribosomal RNA". It matches the Rfam family "Bacterial small subunit ribosomal RNA", at positions 28 to 507 of the family's 1533-position model. The record is from RNAcentral.